CUGAAGUGCAAGCUGAAACCGGUUCGGGGGAUGCCCCCCCCUUCGGGGUCAGAAGUUUGCAGCAAGGAAGACUACGAGCCUUCACGAGGAAGACUACGAGCCUUCAUCAUCACGACCUACCACGCACGCGCAGGGGGGGGAGGGACUAUAUGCUAAUGGGCUCUCGGGAAUGUAGUGAAUAUGUAUCCGAAUUCCUGUCAACUAUUGAUUAUGUAUUAGUUUCACCUAUAUCUAUAGCACGAUUUCUUCAGACGGUGUGUAAGUUUGGUGGAGCGAUCCCCCUUGCACCAGGGUGUACGCGCGACACCAAUAAACACAUACCUGCUCUAUAUCCUUACUGGCUAUAGGGUCUGAUUUCCGCACGUCAGUUUUGGCACCCCAGAUGGGACCCUCUCUGUUCAGCUGCAGGACUGGCUGAGAGGGGGGACGCCUUUGGCGCGUCCUGAGAUUUCUCGGAAGGACUCCCUUUCCUCACCCAAUCACUGCGAGAGCAGACAAGGACCAUCGAUCGGCGGACCAGACGUAUUAGAGAGAUGUAGACAUCGUGGCAGUCUCGCUCCUGAGGGAUGACCAGUUGGAUGACCUGGAAGUUCUUGCAGCGGAUCAGCAGUGGGCAACCUGUGGCAGUUGUGGCCUGUUUCUCAAUGGAGGAUAUUUGGCUGUGGAGAACCUGCACGGGAAUUGAAAAUGAUUCAAGUCUUCAAAAAGAAAAACAGUUGCUUGUAAAGAUCUGCCAGGACACAGCAGCUUCCACUGCUGUUUCAGAAAAUCCUCACACACGUCUUCUUGCAUUUUUGUUCCAAUCUCCAGCAUCAGGCUCCAGAAGUGCCAGGUACAUGACCUACAGACAAAGAAGCACUUCUGGAAACUUUCAGCUGCUCAGACAUUAGCCUAGUCAUGCUGUCCAAAGCCUUCUGUUUGAUUGUUUGUUUGUUUGUUUUUAAAUGUAUGCUAACAGUCAUCAGAAAAAGAGCUCUUUUGUCUACCUGUAUAGUGAAAAGAUGAACCAGCAUCAGUUAUAUAAAACUAACUGAAGUCUCUUGGCUAAAAUGUUGGUCCUGCUAACUGACAGAAUGGAAGCACAGGGAGAGAGAGACAAGAGCUGACUGAGCCCAAGCAGUAAUUCACUCUCUAAACAGCUGAACUUGACAGCAGUGGUUCCUUGGAUAAUCACAGCCAGUAUUUAUACAGUGAAUACCCUUGCAGUACCCUGUGUUACCCUGUGUUGCAAUAGCCAGAACCCACAGAAAUUUUUUAAAAAAAUUAUCAAGCUGCAAAGGUUUUCAAUUGGAAUUUGACACACUACCCAGUGAUAGAACCAUCUGUAUAAACUCAUUUACUGUAUUUAAUGUACCUUGCAAGUUAUUUUCAAAUUACCAUCAGUAAAUUGCCAUGCCUUUACAGCUAACCGAAAAAAUUAAAAUCAUACCCAGGUUUCUUUACGAGUUUCAGAACCAUUUUCCACAAAUAUGACAUGAGUAGCUGUUAAGUACAGGGUUCCCACUGCAGCUUUUCUUGAAGACAAGCGAUCAAGUAACCGUACAUUUUCCACCUAAAUAAAGAGAGGACAGAUGAAAAAAAAAGAAAAAAAAUAGGCUAUGGCAUAGUAUAUUGUAGUGGCACAUCAACAUUCAUAUUUUGUCCAUUACAAACACUGUGUUGUCAUGCUAAGAUAGAUGUUUACCACCUAAACAGUACACAAAUAUAUGGGAGAUUGAUCUACUUUCACAAGCAAUAGAACUUAGGAUUCACGGGACAGUUCAGGUUGGAACUCAGGAGGUCUUGAGUCCAGUUUCCUGGUCCAAGUGUGUCUGGUCUCUGAGGUUAGAUCAGGUUGCCCAGGGCUUUACCCAGUUAGGUCUUGAAAAUCUUCAAGGAUGGAGCCUGUCCAACCUGUCUGGGUGACCUACUUCAUUGCCAAACUGUUCUUACAGUGAAAUUAAUAGAGAAGUAUGCCACAAGAUAGAGUAGUGCCAGAAGAACCACUGAAUCCACUUAGUAAGGGCCACUAAGAUGAUCAGAGGGCUGGAGCACCUCUCCUAUGAGAAAAGGUUGAGGGAACUGGGCUUGUUUAGCUUGGAGAAGGGAAGGCUCUGGGGAGACCUCAUUGUGGCCUUCCAGUACUUGAAGGGAGCAUAUCAACAGGAGGGGGAACAGCUGUUUACCAGAGUGGAUAGUGAUAGGACAAGGGGGAAUGGUUUUAGACUGAGACGGGGAGGUUUAGAUUGGAUAUUAGGAGGAAGUUUUUCACCCAGAGGGUGGUGACGCACUGGAACAGGUUGCCCAAGGAGGUUGUGGAUGCCGCAUUCCUGGAGGCCAGGCUGGAUGUGGCUCUGGGCAGCCUGGUUGUGGUUGUGUUGGUGUGGUUGGUGAGCCUGCACAUAGCAGGGGGGUUGAAACUAGAUGAUCAUUGUGGUCCUUUUCAACCCAGGCCAUUCUAUGAUUCUAUGAUUCUUUAGUGCUAUGUGUAGUAGUUAUAUUUUUAGCACUGGGGUCAUGCCUACAAGCUUUUCUGAGGAAAUUAUUUUUACAUCUCUUCUUUAAAAAUGGCAAAGCUUGUUCAGACACAUACCCUCCCCUUGAGCCCAUCCUUCUUGAUCCUUCCCACUAAUAUCAGCUGGAGGGUCAAAAAUAAAUCAAACACAGGAGUAUCUCAAAAUCAACAGUCAAGCUUGAACCAAAUAAUGUUGGAAGCUGCCUCACUGUUGAAAAAAAAAAUAAACAAACAUACUAUCUCACACAUAAUAUGAGAAAGUAUAGCUAAAAGCAUCUGAAUCAGAAAUGGUGUGUAUGUGAGAGAACGAAAAGAUGCUUUUCCCAUAAGAUCUUCCCAGGGCCAUAUGAAAGGACUAUCAGAAAAGUAUUUAUGUAUGAGAAAAUUUGAUUAUAUUAAAUGAUUUAACUCCAGAUCUAACUUAACAUUCAUUUUUCUUCCUCUUGUGGUACCUCUCUAUCCAAACAGAUGUUAGUAAAAGAGUUCAAAGAACUUCCCACUUUGUAAACCUUACCACAGCCCUAUAAUAGCAUGGUAGAACCUGGCAUCCAGUCAAGCCUUUCCAUAAUCAUCAGUGACACAAAGAAAGCUUAAUUUAAAAAAAUAAUAAUAGAUUGAAGAAGAAGAGGGAAAAGUAGGAGGUGGAAGUGGUUGAGUGUAUUUCUUCAAUGGGCCUCACUUAGGCUUGCAGACAAGUAUCCAGUGAGAGUUCAUAAAAUGUUUCAGAGUUUGUCCCUGUGGGCCUACUAGUGCUGACAGCAAUGGACACAACUGGAAAUGUUUGUCUUCAAUCACUUUCCAACUGGAAUCAAAGACUUAACACCCACAGUUUUGCCUCCUUGGACAAAAAUGGAUGUUCUCCCUUUGCAGCACUGCUGACAACAGGUACCUAUGGCUUUUACACUGUUAAUAUAUGGUACAUGCCACUUUUUAUAGGCAUUUGAUCUGAAGCAACCUAGUGUUCCUGACUGAUAAGCUAGAAAGAUAGAUAAACAAGGUAGACAACGAAUGGAUUAAGAACUGUCUGAAACAAUCAAUAAUUUGUUAACAGCAGCCUUAGUAGGUUUCCUACUGCAACCAUUUUAAAACCAAAAUUAGCAGCUUUUACUAAAAAAAAAAACAUGCCCUAGUUCAAACACAUUAAACCAAAGAAUGCUGAUCAUCAAGAUCAUACAAUGUGCAGUAAAUUACCAAAAUGGUUUUAUAAUGCUGAAAUCACACUGGAACACGUGAUUUUCACCCACUGCUGCAAGAGAGCUUCAAUACACUGCUCAUCUCUUCUAUAUCCUCUCUUUGACUCUCCACUCAAGACUUGCAAGUUCUUAUAUAUAGCCAGUUAUUUUCAGGACCUGGAGCCAAUAACUGCUGAAAAGAUAUGACUCCAUUAAAAUCAGAAGGGUUCUAUUCUUGUGUUUGAAGUACAAAAGCUGACUGUGAGUGCUGUUCCAAGAAAAUGGAGGAGGGCAAAAGAAAGUUAAAGACCACUCUUGGAUUGAAAUAAAGGCAACUUUGCAUCAAUUUUCUUUAAAACAGAGUGGGGUGCAACAAAAACAGAAAGAAGAAAGAGAUCUGCAAAGUCACUUUCAUUUUUAAUAACACAGACUCCAGAUUACGUUCACAGAAGCUUCCCACAAGACUCAGAAAUGGGAUGUAGUACUUCACGACAAUUUUUCUCUCUGGUUUUAAGUAAUUCCACCAAAAUCACACAGUGAGCAGAGAGAUGCCAUCACCUAAGAACUGAACAUUUGCAACAUAUUAUCUAAACACAUUGCGUUAUUUUAAAAAUAGGAACACUGUGGUUCUUAAAACAAACAAAUGAAAAAAAACAGUUUGGUAGCAAAAUGCUUAAAAAUUAAACAAUUAGCAAAACCAAGUUUCCCUCAAGGCCAGCUAUAAUCUGCUUUAAACAAAAAUAAAACAGAUAGAAAGCAUGAAUAAAGUCUUUUCCCAGGACCAUCCACUUCAGAGGUCACGUAUUGGGAUAAGGAAGAAUAGAAGGAACACAGCAUUAACCCAAAACAUUCAGUAAUAAGACAAAAGGAAGAUAUAAAAAAGCACGCAUCAUAGAAACCAAAGAUUUAGGCAGUGCCCCAAGUCUAAGAGGAACCCUCCAAUAACAGUAAAAAAUAAGAUUCACCUGGACAAAAUCAUGUCCCUGCUGUAAGUCCAGCCAAGGAGGGCACUGCUCUACAGGACCUGGUCUUGCACAAGGAAGUGGUCACCCCAGAUACCACCUACAAACUGAGGUACUUCAGGUUGUGACAUAAGAAAAGCAGACACUCACAAAGCAGGGCAGAAGCUUGGGGCUGAAUUUUCAGGUAUCCAAAUUAUAUCUUCUCCCUCCUCAUCAAUCAGAGUUGCAUAACUGAUUUUUCAAAUCCAGAUGAGGGGGAAUUCCUUCACCUUUUCCAGGAGGCCAGCCUGCUGAUAAAGACUGAGACUGACUCUCUCCUCCAGUUUUAUCUAUGGUUUGUUUGAUUUAUUAUUCUUAAUUAUUCUGUAUUAUCUCACAUUGCUUUUAAUAAAUCAGUUUUCUCCUAUCUCAGUCAGGUUUCUUCCUCUUCCUUCCCCUUCUCCUGAGGGGAGAGAAGGGUCUUGUGUG
This 5096-nucleotide long non-coding RNA is filed under the name Gallus gallus (chicken). The record is from RNAcentral. Lineage: Eukaryota; Metazoa; Chordata; Aves; Galliformes; Phasianidae.